This 209-nucleotide unclassified non-coding RNA is filed under the name Hevea brasiliensis (rubber tree). The record is from RNAcentral. Lineage: Eukaryota; Viridiplantae; Streptophyta; Magnoliopsida; Malpighiales; Euphorbiaceae.
GGAUUAAUUGUCUUACUUGUAUUCCAUCUUUUGCUUCAUUUCUUAUGAAAUAAUAACAAACAGUUUUGAUUAUGGAUCUAUUAUAAAAAAUUUAAUGCAUAAUUUUAACAAUUAAUUUAUAUUUUUGGAUAAUUUUAUUUUUUAAUUAUUCAACCAUUUUAUUUUAUUAAAUUUAAUGUUAGUCAGAGUUGUCCAUAUUUAUAUAUACU